Gossypium arboreum is the source of this 772-nucleotide long non-coding RNA. RefSeq lists it as uncharacterized. Lineage: Eukaryota; Viridiplantae; Streptophyta; Magnoliopsida; Malvales; Malvaceae. The record is from RefSeq and is a predicted model, not a curated record. The transcript is spliced from 4 exons.
UGGUAUUCUAGGGGCCCAAAAUUAACCCUUAACUACCCAAUUGAUUUGACCCUAAGAAGCCUCCUCUCUUCAUCUCUAUCAUUUCCAUUUCAGCUUCUCGAAGAAUACACUGUUGUUUUUCCCAAAGUACCCUUUAGGCCCCAUCUUUGCCCAGUGCUUCACCGGCCGAUUAAGAUUCCCUCCUCCAUUUUCCUCCUUGCAAAUGGUGACACUUCUCCUACUAGACAGAUUUGCUCUACCCUCCGUUGCUAGUAUGUGAGCCAACCCAUUUCUUCCUCUUGCAGUGUAUGAGAAAUGACAGGAGAGAUGCAUGGAACAUUCGACUAAUCCUUAGUGAAUUAAAUGUACGUGGGUUGCUAUCUUCGUGAAGAUUUUGGAUUGCUCGUGCUGGAAUCGGUGUCGAGAAAUACUAGGCGUGUAACGAGAAACUCAAAAAAUGGCAAAUGGCGAAAGCCAAAAUUAGGGCCUGUCGAUGCCACAUGAUCAUCUGUCUGGCCGUGUGCGACACACAACUGUGUAACAAGCCGUAUGCAAGGCCGUGUGAGCCACACGGUCUAGGCCAUUUUGGGCCAUGUGGGCCCAAAUUUUAGAAAUUUUUCCUAAGGUAACCCUCAAACCUAUGCAGAUCGGUGCGACAAGAGCUUGGUUAUGUCCACAUUUUCGUAAACUCUGUUUUGCUUAAAUUUGUCUUAUUUAAAAUUAUGAUUUGAGAGUUUUUGUAAUUUUUGGACUCUUGAGACAUUUGAAAUUAUUUUUGCUUUGGAUUUUAAAA